GAUGAACGCUGGCGGCGUGCCUAAUACAUGCAAGUAGAACGCUGAAGGAAGUAGCUUGCUCUUUCCGGAUGAGUUGCGGACGGGUUAGUAACGCGUAGGUAACCUGCCUGGUAGCGGGGGAUAACUAUUUGAAACGAUAGCUAAUACCGCAUAACAGUAGAUGUUGCAUGAUAUCUACUUAAAAGGUGCAAUUGCACCACUACCAGAUGGACCUGCGUUGUAUUAGCUAGUUGGUGAGGUAACGGCUCACCAAGGCGACGAUACAUAGCCGACCUGAGAGGGUGAUCGGGCACACUGGGACUGAGACACGGCCCAGACUCCUACGGGAGGCAGCAGGAGGGAAUAUUCGGCAACGGACGGAAGUCUGAACGAGGAACGCCGCGGGAGUGAAGAAGGGUUUCGGAUCGGAAAGCUGUGUUGUAAGAGAAGAAAGAGUGUGAGAGUGGAAAGUUCACACUGUGACGGUAUCUUAACAGAAAGGGACGGCUAACUACGUG
Molecule: ribosomal RNA, 497 nt
Filed under: uncultured bacterium
Lineage: Bacteria
Description: partial 16S ribosomal RNA
Rfam family: Bacterial small subunit ribosomal RNA
Source: RNAcentral